Molecule: non-coding RNA, 217 nt
Organism: Podarcis muralis (Common wall lizard)
Lineage: Eukaryota; Metazoa; Chordata; Lepidosauria; Squamata; Lacertidae
Source: RefSeq, a predicted model, not a curated record
UGGCUGUCACAUGGAGGAUGGAGCAAGCUUGUUUCCUCCUGCUCUGGAAGGUGCCAGGGGCCUUCCGAGAGGCUGCUGUGACCUUCGCUGGAAAUGUGGAGGCAUCGCCGGAAACAACCCAGAGGCAGCUUGGUGGGGAGUUCAAGCGGGGAAAUGAGGGGGUCUCCAGCGUGCUGGGUGGGAUUUGAGGAGGCCGCCGCAGAUGUCUCUGAGGAAG